This 253-nucleotide ribosomal RNA is filed under the name uncultured bacterium. RNAcentral's name for it is "partial 16S ribosomal RNA". It matches the Rfam family "Bacterial small subunit ribosomal RNA", at positions 524 to 776 of the family's 1533-position model. The record is from RNAcentral.
UACGUAGGGUCCUAGCGUUGUCCGGAUUUACUGGGCGUAAAGGGUGCGCAGGCGGACUGAUAAGUCAGGGGUGAAAUCUCACAGCUCAACUGUGAAACUGCCUUUGAUACUGUCAGUCUUGAAUAAGCGAGAGAUUCGUGGAAUUCCGAGUGUAGCAGUGAAAUGUGUAGAUAUUCGGAAGAACACCAGUGGCGAAGGCAGCGAAUUGGCGCUUUAUUGACGCUCAGGCACGAAAGCAUGGGGAUCAAACAGG